CCUACGGGAGGCAGCAGUGGGGAAUCUUGCGCAAUGGGCGAAAGCCUGACGCAGCAACGCCGCGUGCGGGAAGAAGGCUUUCGGGCUGUAAACCGCUUUCAGCAGGAACGAAAAUGACGGUACCUGCAGAAGAAGGAGCGGCCAACUAUGUGCCAGCAGCCGCGGUGAUACAUAGGCUUCAAGCGUUGUCCGGAUUUAUUGGGCGUAAAGAGUUCGUAGGCGGUCGAGUAAGUCGGGUGUGAAAAUUCUGGGCUCAACCCAGAGACGCACCCGAUACUGCUUGACUUGAGUUCGAUAGGGGAGUGGGGAAUUCCUAGUGUAGCGGUGAAAUGCGCAGAUAUUAGGAGGAACACCGGUGGCGAAGGCGCCACUCUGGAUCGAUACUGACGCUGAGGAACGAAAGCAUGGGUAGCAAACAGGAUUAGAUACCCUGGUAGUCCAUGCCGUAAACGGUGGGCACUAGGUGUGGGGUUUCCUAUUUAACGGAAAUCCGNGCCGUCGCUAACGCAUUAAGUGCCCCGCUGGGGNGUACGUCGCAGACAACACAANAGAGUAGACGGCGNGAGACGNGCCGACGACGACGACGAGGGAGAGG
RNAcentral lists this ribosomal RNA (595 nucleotides) under uncultured bacterium. RNAcentral's name for it is "bacterial SSU rRNA". The stretch from base 1 to 523 matches the Rfam family "Bacterial small subunit ribosomal RNA", at positions 338 to 873 of the family's 1533-position model. The record is from RNAcentral.